RNAcentral lists this ribosomal RNA (759 nucleotides) under Haemophilus influenzae. Its description in RNAcentral is "bacterial SSU rRNA". It matches the Rfam family "Bacterial small subunit ribosomal RNA", at positions 28 to 776 of the family's 1533-position model. The record is from RNAcentral. Lineage: Bacteria; Pseudomonadati; Pseudomonadota; Gammaproteobacteria; Pasteurellales; Pasteurellaceae.
AUUGAACGCUGGCGGCAGGCUUAACACAUGCAAGUCGAACGGUAGCAGGAGGAAGCUUGCCUUCUUGCUGACGAGUGGCGGACGGGUGAGUAAUGCUUGGGAAUCUGGCUUAUGGAGGGGGAUAACUACGGGAAACUGUAGCUAAUACCGCGUAGUAUCGGAAGAUGAAAGUGCGGGACCGUAAGGCCGCAUGCCAUGAGAUGAGCCCAAGUGGGAUUAGGUAGUUGGUGGGGUAAAGGCCUACCAAGCCUGCGAUCUCUAGCUGGUCUGAGAGGAUGGCCAGCCACACUGGAACUGAGACACGGUCCAGACUCCUACGGGAGGCAGCAGUGGGGAAUAUUGCGCAAUGGGGGAAACCCUGACGCAGCCAUGCCGCGUGAAUGAAGAAGGCCUUCGGGUUGUAAAGUUCUUUCGGUAUUGAGGAAGGUUGAUGUGUUAAUAGUACAUCAAAUUGACGUUAAAUACAGAAGAAGCACCGGCUAACUCCGUGCCAGCAGCCGCGGUAAUACGGAGGGUGCGAGCGUUAAUCGGAAUAACUGGGCGUAAAGGGCACGCAGGCGGUUAUUUAAGUGAGGUGUGAAAGCCCCGGGCUUAACCUGGGAAUUGCAUUUCAGACUGGGUAACUAGAGUACUUUAGGGAGGGGUAGAAUUCCACGUGUAGCGGUGAAAUGCGUAGAGAUGUGGAGGAAUACCGAAGGCGAAGGCAGCCCCUUGGGAAUGUACUGACGCUCAUGUGCGAAAGCGUGGGGAGCAAACAGG